GUGGGGAAUAUUGGGCAAUGGGGGAAACCCUGACCCAGCAACGCCGCGUGAAGGAAGAAGGCUUUCGGGUUGUAAACUUCUUUUAUGAGGGACGAAGAAGUGACGGUACCUCAUGAAUAAGCCACGGCUAACUACGUGCCAGCAGCCGCGGUAAUACGUAGGUGGCAAGCGUUGUCCGGAUUUACUGGGUGUAAAGGGCGCGUAGGCGGGAUAGCAAGUCAGGUGUGAAAUCCGGGGGCUUAACCCUCGAACUGCACUUGAAACUGUUAUUCUUGAGUGAUGGAGAGGCAAGCGGAAUUCCUAGUGUAGCGGUGAAAUGCGUAGAUAUUAGGAGGAACACCAGUGGCGAAGGCGGCUUGCUGGACAUUAACUGACGCUGAGGCGCGAAAGCGUGGGGAGCAAACAGGAUUAGAUACCCCAGUAGUCC
This 427-nucleotide ribosomal RNA is filed under the name uncultured bacterium. Its description in RNAcentral is "partial 16S ribosomal RNA". It matches the Rfam family "Bacterial small subunit ribosomal RNA", at positions 354 to 796 of the family's 1533-position model. The record is from RNAcentral.